CCUACGGGAGGCAGCAGUAGGGAAUAUUGCUCAAUGGGGGAAACCCUGAAGCAGCAACGCCGCGUGGAGGAUGAAGGUUCUCCGAUUUUUAACUCCCUUUGAUAGGGAAGAUAAUGACGGUAUCUGACCAAUAAGCACCGGCUAACUCCGUGCCAGCAGCCGCAGUAACACGGAGGGUGCAAGCGUUACUCGGAUUCACUGGGCGUAAAGAGCGCGUAGGCGGGAUAGCAAGUCAGGUGUGAAAGCCGAGGGCUUAACCUGAGAACUGCAGUUGAAACUGUUAUUCUAGAGUAAGGGAGGGGUAGGUGGAAUUCUUGGUGUAGGAGUGAAAUGCGUAGAGAUCAAGAGGAACACUCAUGGCGAAGGCGACUUGCUAGAACAUAACUGACGCUGAUGCGCGAAAGCGUGGGGAGCGAACAGGAUUAGAUACCCGAGUAGUC
RNAcentral lists this ribosomal RNA (440 nucleotides) under uncultured bacterium. Its description in RNAcentral is "partial 16S ribosomal RNA". It matches the Rfam family "Bacterial small subunit ribosomal RNA", at positions 338 to 795 of the family's 1533-position model. The record is from RNAcentral.